This 567-nucleotide small RNA is filed under the name Pan troglodytes (chimpanzee). Its description in RNAcentral is "retained intron". Lineage: Eukaryota; Metazoa; Chordata; Mammalia; Primates; Hominidae. The record is from RNAcentral.
GUGCAUGUGUCCCUUAGACUGCUUCUCCACAGGGUCAGGCUCCCUGAAUCUGAGGAAUCUAAAACUGUCCUCUAUCACAAUGAGAACUUAGGAGGCUUGUCCACAUUUCAGCAGCACAACCCUGUGGACUUUUUUCAGAAUGAAGUGCUAGUUAGUGGUCUGUCUUUGCUAAACCUUGUAUUUUCAAAAUGGGCGUGAAAAAUGUUUGCUUAGCAUAAUUCCCAUUUUUCCCCUUAGGAAUAGCCAGGCCAGAAGAAGGAAGGCCUGUGGUGAGUGGGACCGGAAAUGACAUCACCACCCCACCGAACAAGGAGCUCCCACCAAGCCCAGAGAAGAAAACAAAGCCCAUUGCAGAUGCAAAGGCUCCUGAGAAGCGGGCCUCACCAUCCAAGCCAGCUUCUGCCCCGGCCUCCAGAUCUGGGUCCAAGAGCACUCAGACUGUUGCAAAAACCACAACAGCUGCCGCUGUUGCCUCAACUGGCCCAAGCAGUAGGAGCCCCUCCACGCUCCUGCCCAAGAAGCCCACUGCCAUUAAGACUGAGGGAAAACCUGCAGAAGUCAAGAAGA